UUCUCUCCGGCGUGGAGAGAGAUUGAAAGAUGGCUUCGGCUAUCACUUACAGAUGGACCCGCGGCGCAUUAGCUAGUUGGUGAGGUAACGGCUCACCAAGGCAACGAUGCGUAGCCGACCUGAGAGGGUGAUCGGCCACAUUGGGACUGAGACACGGCCCAAACUCCUACGGGAGGCAGCAGUAGGGAAUCUUCCGCAAAUGGACGAAAGUCUGACGGAGCAACGCCGCGUGAGUGAAGAAGGUCUUCGGAUCGUAAAACUCUGUUGUUAGGGAAGAACAAGUAUCGUUCGAAUAGGGCGGUACCUUGACGGUACCUAACCAGAAAGCCACGGCUAACUACGUGCCAGCAGCCGCGGUAAUACGUAGGUGGCAAGCGUUGUCCGGAAUUAUUGGGCGUAAAGCGCGCGCAGGCGGUCUUUUAAGUCUGAUGUGAAAGCCCACGGCUCAACCGUGGAGGGUCAUUGGAAACUGGAAGACUUGAGUGCAGAAGAGGAGAGUGGAAUUCCACGUGUAGCGGUGAAAUGCGUAGAGAUGUGGAGGAACACCAGUGGCGAAGGCGAUGCUCUGGUCUGUAACUGACGCUGAGGCGCGAAAGCGUGGGGAGCAAACAGGAUUAGAUACCCUGGUAGUCCACGCCGUAAACGAUGAGUGCUAAGUGUUAGAGGGUUUCCGCCCUUUAGUGCUGCAGCUAACGCAUUAAGCACUCCGCCUGGGGAGUACGACCGCAAGGGUGAAACGCAAAGGAAGGGACGGGGGCCCGCACAAGCGGUGGAGCAGGCGGGGAAGGCGAAGCAACGCGAAGA
Molecule: ribosomal RNA, 804 nt
Filed under: uncultured Bacillus sp.
Lineage: Bacteria; Bacillati; Bacillota; Bacilli; Caryophanales; Bacillaceae
Description: bacterial SSU rRNA
Rfam family: Bacterial small subunit ribosomal RNA
Source: RNAcentral